CUUGGUUCUGGAGAGGAAAUGACAUACAGUUUGUGAAAGCAUAAAUAUUCGUGAAAAUAAGAAAAUUCAGGAAGGAAACAAAGCUUAAGGCAGUGAUUGAUAGGUUAUUUCUUGGACACAGCUGAACGUAUACUGUGCGCCUGCAACUUUCCGGUGGUUUCGGACCGGACUUCAGUGAAGCCAGUGAAGUCGGUCGACUUGCAGAACUUCCUUUCAGAGGGGCGUACACAGCACCGCGGCCGUGUGCCUGUGAUCUCCUUCUGAGUUUGAAAAAGAAGAUCCUAGACACCGAGCCAAAUAUGUUUGCAUAAACCGGGAGACUUGUGGCUCUAUUUUGUAACAGCUUGGCGCAGGGCAGCUGGUUUGGAGAUGUCUCUGUUCUUCCCUUGGUGGGGGUGCCGGAAAAAAUGUGCUGCCUGGGCGAUCGAGGUUGGGGCAAAAGCGUUGCAAAGGAAAAGGUGGGAGGACUCUACUUUCACAUUUCCCAAAAGAGUUUUACCAUAAGACUAUUUCUGGAUUGUUCUAACGUGAGGAUAUUGGGAGCAUUUUGAAAAUACUGGAGGAAAAGCUGUCACUGGGCGAUUUAAAUCCGGACUCCCGGAUGUCAUGCAUCAGCCCUAUGAGAGUCUUGCCUCUUCUUCAACACACCUGUGUUUCACCGCUGUCCUUUGAUCAGGAGUCCUGUCUGGCAAAGUUCCUGUAAACAUCUGUCCAGGGCCUGAGCUCAGAAGGCAGAAUCCGUCGUGGAGCGUGUCCAACUCCUACCCCAAGAGCAGCCUCCAUGUUUACCCACGGACUGGGCUCACACACAGGCAGGCAGCUCCGAGCUCUGAGCACCUCAGCAUCCUUGGACUCUGAGCUAGCGUGGUCACAUGUCGGGGGGACAGAGUUCCCCAGCCCUUACCCUGCAGUCUUGCUUCUGAUAGGGAAACCUUGAGCUCGUAGUGACUGUGGGGCUGGCUCUCCAGGACAAGCCCCUCCAGUGGAGCCAGGAACCAGGAUGGAAGGUUGGGUUUGGGGGUGGACUGAUGGCCUGGAGUUCACUGCCACCUAUUUUCUUUUCCUCUUUUUCCAUCUCACCCAGAGCUGUGGGAAGAGGCCUUGACAACAGGUGAGAUUUGGGGCACCUGACUGUGACUUCAACCCAGCAGGUGGGGUUGGCCCAAAGCAGUUCCCCAGCUUGUCCUCUCAGGUCCUCUGGACACCCUUCCCCACCACACAUAACCCUGGACCUUCACAGCUCCCACACCACCAUCCACACCUAGGAAAGGACAUCGGACUGGAGGUCAGGGGCCUAGGAUUCAAGUCCCAGCUCUGCCGACAGCUACCAGUGUAUUCUUGGGCAAGUCACUGAACCUCUGUGGGUCCUGAUUCCCUUACCUGUAAGAGAGUGAUAAUCAUAAGGCCCUCUGCAUUGCUCUAAGGAUCAAGAUAAUGCUUGUGAAAGUCUUCACUGUACUCUAAAGUGUGAUUAAUAUAUAUUCUUUAUCCUGGAAUCUCCUAUCUCCUUUGAGUCCUGUUAAAUAAACCAUGAUGUGAAUGGUUAGUAAUGAAGUGUUUGCCCCCUUUCUAGACAGUUAUUUGUACUUGUAACCAUAACUUUCAAUGCCUUUAUUCAGCGAUAAGAGUACGGAAUUAAUUCCAAGUUCAGACCGGGUGUAGCAGCUCACAUCUGUAAUCCCAGCACUUUGUGAGGUCAAGAUGGGAAGAUCGCUCAAGUUUAGGAGUUUGAGACCAGCCUGAGCAACAUAGGAAGACACUGUCUCUACAAGCAAACAAACAAACAGACAAAAAAACAAUAAAUUACCUGGGCAUGGUGGCACAUGCCUGUAGUCCCAGUUGCUCAGGAGGCUGAGGCAUAAGGAUCACUUGAGCCCAGAAGGUUGAGGCUGCAGUGAGCUGUGAUCACACCAUUACACUCCGACCUGGGUGACAGAGCGAGCCCCUGUCUCAAAAAGAAAAAAGAAAAAGCAAAAAAGAAAAAAUUUCAAGUUUACAGGCAGGCUGGGGAGGAGGAGCAACUUCCUAUUCAGUGGUGCUGCUUCCUUCGCUGGGCAAUUUGCUGGCAUUGCCCUCUGUCAUCCUAAGGCGAUGGACCUUGUUGCUAUGUAAGGGAAGUCCUUACCCAGAAGGCUGAGAGGAACAGAAUUUCCAAGGACAAAACACUUGCCAAGAAGCCCAGCUUCACAAAUUUCCUCUAUUUGUCAACCCCUUGGUACAUAGUUGCUGCUUUGAUGAGGCUGAUUUCAGCUGAAAUACCACAGCAGUGGGAAAAGGAUAUAAUUCUUUCCUUGCAUUCCAGUGUGAGGCUGAUGUAGGCAAAGAAACCUGCCAAAGCAUUUAGAGACGCAUGAAGUCCCCUGUUGUGUUUAAGGUCUUUUUCUCCACUUGGACAGGUUGGCAGCCACUUUCCUUCUCUCUUGCUCAAUCCUUCCUCCUGCAUUCCAUCGGAGUUCUUGUUUCCCAUCCAAAGAGCUCAAUUCCUUUCUGAGCAAUUCCUGUUUUCUAGUCUUCCAUCUCUUCCUAUUGUACAGACACCAGUUCAUCAGAAAGAGUUUCCCAGUUAAUUUUGAUGUAGCCCAGCGUCACCUCUUACAGUGUCUGGCUCAGAAAUUAAUUCUUCCUUAAGUCUAACUCAAUCCCCCAUGUUCCUCCCCUGUUUCUAAACUCUCAGCAGGCUCCCCAUUAUCUCCUGAACUAAAUUCUGUCUCCUAAGCCCAGCCUUAGAGGUCUUCCUCCUUCUGGUCUCCAGGGCUAGAUGCACUGUCUCCCCUGGCUGAUGCAGCCUCAUGCCGGGGUGUGUGGCCUUGGAAAGGGGAAUUUGACUUGUACCUACUCACCCCCAGGGUCCUUUAUCAGGCACCUGUUGGUCCCAGCCAGCCUCUUCAACCUCAUUUCCUAUUUUUCCUUCUACCCUUGCCUGGUGGCUGGCCCAGUGCCCUACUCACCAUGUCUCUGAAUGGCAUCACACAAUCCUGUCUCUGCACCCUCCCUCCCUCCCUCCCUCCCUCCCUCCCUCCCUCCUUCCCUCCCUUCCUCCCUCCCUUCCUUCCUUCCUUCUUUCCUUCUUCCCUUCCCUUCCCUUCCCUUCCUUCCCUUCCUUCUUUCCUUCUUUCUUUUUCUUUCUUUCCCUUCCUUCCUUCCUUCCUUCCAUCCUCCCUCCCUCUUUCCUUUCCUUUCCCUUCUUUCUUUCUUUCUUUCCUUCCUUUCUUCCUUCCUCCUUCCUUCCUUCCUUCCCUUUCUUUUUGAGAGGGAGUCUCGCUCUGUCAUCCAGGCUGGAGUGCAGUGGCAUGAUCUCGGCUCACUCGAACCUCCGCCUCCCAGGCUCAAGGGAUUCUCCUGCCUCCACCUCCCGAGUAGCUGGGAUUACAGGCGCACACCACUACACCCAGGUAAUUUUU
RNAcentral lists this long non-coding RNA (3401 nucleotides) under Homo sapiens (human). Its description in RNAcentral is "HSALNT0303982". The record is from RNAcentral. Lineage: Eukaryota; Metazoa; Chordata; Mammalia; Primates; Hominidae.